RNAcentral lists this ribosomal RNA (200 nucleotides) under uncultured eukaryote. RNAcentral's name for it is "partial 18S ribosomal RNA". The record is from RNAcentral.
UGGAACCGCGUUAAUCGGUCUCGUGUGAUGGGAUCAAGGCGGAUCAUUCGAAUCGUACUCGGGGGUCGACAGCGGCAACACACAGAUCGCUUAAGAUGUUGCCGAUUAAAAAAAGCACCGCGAGAUGACCAAAAUACCAUUACCACAGGAUAGUCGCGCUCUAACAGUGAUUCAUAACCAAGAAGGCCGAAGCCGUUGAU